CUAUGGCCACAGUAAACGUAAUGGCGGACGAUAGAAAUUUAAAGUACAUCAGAGAUUAGAGCCUACACUGUUUUGUUUUUUAUAAAGGUGAAAAUGAAUGGAAAACUGGAAAUCAUCAAACAAUUAUAUAUCAAAUAGCUCACACAGAGCAGUGUCAGUAUGGUACAUUCCAGAUCUAUAAAGCUGCCUAAACACACACAAAAUGGGAGGUAAAAAAAAAUCCAGUAAAAAAUCCAGCAAAAAGUCCAGUAAGAAGGCAGGUAAAAAGUCAGGUAAGAAAUCUGGAGGCUCACGCAAGUCCAAGUCAGCAAAAAGUUCCCUUGGGUCAGCUAAGGCCAAGGCAGCGCCGGUGGACAUGAUGAGUCCAGCUGCCAUGGAAAACUUGUAUUUCAUAGCUCAUAAUGCACCAGACGCACUGGAGAAGUGGGGCUUUAGCGCGGAGUCAGGUGGGACAAAGAAAAAGAAAAAAGGAAGAAAAGGAAAGAAGAAAAAGAAAUAAUUUUAAUUGUCAGAUAGUUUUCUAGGUUUGUUAGUUUUUUUGUAAGUUUGUUACGAUUACAUUUUGUUCACUUAAAAGCAGCUGAUAAGCACACCAAUAAAGUUCCCCAUCUCCCCUAAAUUCUAAAAAUAUCUGUGCCUUUAUAGAAGAAGUUUUUUUUUCUUGCCUCAAUUUUCAAUUAUUAAAAAACAUAAUAAUAAAGAAUUUCAUAAAUGUGUAUUGAUCCACAUAGUAUUUUGUUCAACAGAAAGCUCAUGCACUAAAGUAAUAAAUAAGUAACAUUACAAAAGUACAUUGUCAUACUACAGGAAAUUUAUCAGAUCUGCUGUCUUGUUCAAUAAUUUUAACGUUAGAUCAUUACCUCAAACUGCUGGUCAUAUGACAUAAUAUCCUCUAGUUUUUUCAGUCUUUUGAUUUUCAUUGAAAUCUUCCAAUUUUAUUAGUCCUCUUUUUAUUAAAAGAAAAGAUUUUCAAACUUACUGACUCAUAAAAUAUUUAAUUGUUUGUAAAUAUAUUAAAUAGUUUAUAGAAUAUAUAUCUAUAUUUUAUGUUUACAUUUUCAUUAGCUCAAAUAUAUAAUAAUUAGGCCUAUAAAACAUGUGCCACAUUUAACUUAUAUACUUUCCAUUACCUUUUUUACACAAGGGAGAGUAGAAUGCCAGGUUGGUCAAAUAUAAAAUAAUUGUCUUCUCGUGCCAAUUUUUAUAAGUUGGGGUUAAAUGUUAAUUAUAAAAAAAUGUUUUUGUCCAAUGUGUUAAAAAACUAUUUCCUGCUGAAUUGUGAUAAUGUAAAAAUAUUUGCUUGGUUUAGACAAAAUGUAUCAUCUCUUAUCUUCAUAACAAAAAUCUGAUUGUUAGGAUGUUUAGAUUUUAAGCAAUUUAAAUUAGAAAUUUUAUUUUAAAAUCUGUAUGAGAUGUGUCCAAAUCGAAAAAGAACAAUGUUUUUCAAUUUAUAAAGUACUUUGCAAAAAUUAAUAAUUGCAUACAUUAUUUUAAUUCAAGGUUUAAAUCUUAAAUCUGACAGACGGCUUUUACUGUGAUAUUUGUUAAUCUGCCUGUAACGAAAAUGAAUGAUGUCAGGAGAUUCUUGUGAUAUAUUGCUAUAUUUUAUUAUCAACUCAAUAACUAAACUCUCAUUUCUUACAAAUAUAUCAAGUUCUUGUAGUGCAAGGUAUUCUAAGGAUUGUCCAUAAAUAACAUCAUCCCCCCCUCCCACACCCCCCUCACCCCACCUCUGCCCAUAAGGUCUGACCUCAUGCUAUGUAGGUGUGGUACAUGUAUGUGUGGUGUGGGGUAGUGGCCAGAUCUCAUCAAUUUCCUGAACCUUUGUCCACUAAGGACAUGAGAAUCAAGUUUUAAAUUCUAUGUUGUUGUUUAAGUUGACAAACCAUUGAGUCUCUGAAGAUGUUAAGUCUAGCAGCAUUACAAUGUGUGUUCUAGCUGUGUAUUGUUUAAGUAAUAGCAUUGAGUGCAUUAGUCGCCUUCACUGUACAGUGUUUUAUAUAGGACGUUAAAUUUUGAACCUUUUCCAUCAGGCUAAAACUGUUCAAUUGUUUAUGUUGUACAACCAGAGUGUUGAUUACCCUGCUUGUUUUGCUCCACCAGUUGUGCCAAUGUGUAAACCAAUGUUUGAAGACACAUACAGAAAUCUUGUCCCAUGUUGUGACCAUUGUGAAAAAUGUACACCAAGCUCCCUCAGUUAAACGUGAUAGCACAAAGAUAUCCCAUGUUUUUAAUUGGUAUAUGUGACGCCGUCCAACUUUCCAAAUGCCAAAACAUUUUUUUUAUAACCUGUGUAUUUUAUUUAUACAAUACAACAUAGUUGAUGUCAAUUUC
RNA transcript from Physella acuta, 2334 nucleotides. It is a transcript of the gene named otolin-1, with no coding region annotated. The record is from RefSeq and is a predicted model, not a curated record. NCBI's taxonomy places the organism in Eukaryota, Metazoa, Mollusca, Gastropoda, Physidae.